UAAGCGUAGAGGAAUGGCUUUAAAUCUGGAAGAAGACGAAUAACCUAUGAAAAAUGUUCGGUCGGGGAGCCCAACAACUCGGUGGAAUUCGGUUUAUAAUCCUAGGUGGCCCACAGAGCUGCGCUACCACUUCAAUAUAGCUGAUUCAGCAUAAAGAAAAAAAAAAUGCAGUGAAGCUGGCUUGUUGAGUAGUUGUGCAGCUUCUGCAACUAUGUGAAGGAAAAAUGGACGAAGAACCUAUAUAUCACCUCGAUCUGCUACAGGCGAACCGUGUGUUGACGGCAAGCUGAACUCUUGUGCCAAUUGUAAAGAAUCAUGCUUGGCUGUUGUGGUUGGUUGCUGACGCUGUCAAUCUAUGAUCCAACUUAUGAUAAAAUGGACUCUGAAAUGAGAGCGGGGAACAUCGGUGCGUUGUAAAGUCAUGCACCUGAAAUGCGACAUCGUUUUUGCUGCCGUCUGCUAGUUGUUGUUCUGGUCUGUUCUCGUUUUGUUGCAGUAGGUUCGAUGCUUCCUGCACUACGCCGG
Triticum dicoccoides is the source of this 525-nucleotide long non-coding RNA. RefSeq lists it as uncharacterized. The record is from RefSeq and is a predicted model, not a curated record. Lineage: Eukaryota; Viridiplantae; Streptophyta; Magnoliopsida; Poales; Poaceae. The transcript is spliced from 3 exons.